This 253-nucleotide ribosomal RNA is filed under the name uncultured bacterium. RNAcentral's name for it is "partial 16S ribosomal RNA". It matches the Rfam family "Bacterial small subunit ribosomal RNA", at positions 524 to 776 of the family's 1533-position model. The record is from RNAcentral.
UACGAAGGGGGCUAGCGUUGCUCGGAAUCACUGGGCGUAAAGCGCACGUAGGCGGCUUUUUAAGUCGGGGGUGAAAGCCUGUGGCUCAACCACAGAAUUGCCUUCGAUACUGGACGGCUUGAGACCGGAAGAGGUAAGUGGAACUGCGAGUGUAGAGGUGAAAUUCGUAGAUAUUCGCAAGAACACCAGUGGCGAAGGCGGCUUACUGGUCCGGAUCUGACGCUGAGGCGCGAAAGCGUGGGGAGCAAACAGG